RNAcentral lists this long non-coding RNA (913 nucleotides) under Cyanistes caeruleus (blue tit). Its description in RNAcentral is "lncRNA (ENSCCEG00000003916.1)". Lineage: Eukaryota; Metazoa; Chordata; Aves; Passeriformes; Paridae. The record is from RNAcentral.
UCAGGGGUUACUCAGAGGUUACUCAGAGGUCAGAGGUUACUCAGAGGUCACUCAGGGGUUACUCAAGGGUUACUCAGAGGUCAGGGGUUACUCAGGGGUUACUCAGGGGUUACUCAGGGGUUACUCCGCGCUCCCCCAGGGGCCGCAUCAGCCCGGGGGGCUCGGUCCGUCUGUCCGUCUACAUGACGCUCUACAGCAUCGCCCACAUCGCCCUGCUCACCUACGAGGCUCAGUUUUUCGACCCCGGGCAGGUGCUGUACACCUACGAGUCCCCGGCGGGGUACGGGCUGAUCGCGCUGCAGUUCGGAGCCUUCGUUUGGUUCUGCGCCGCCGUGGGCGCCACCCUGAGCGCGGUGCCGGAGAGACGCCAGUUCUACCUGCCCUUCCUGGGGGCUUAUGCGUUCUGGUGAGUGCCAAAAUCACACCUGGACACACCUGGGGACACCUGGGGACACCUGGGGGGGUCACAGCCACACCUGGGGCGCCACCCUGAGCGCGGUGCCGGAGCGACGCCAGUUCUACCUGCCCUUCCUGGGGGCUUAUGCGUUCUGGUGAGUGCCAAAAUCACACCUGAGCACACCUGGGACACACCUGGGGACACCUGGGGACACCUGGGGACACUUGGGGACACCUGGACACACCUGGGGACACCUGGGGACACCUGGGAUACACCUGGGGACACCUGGGGGGGAUAAAAACACACCUGGGCACACCUGAGAUACACCUGGGCACACCUGGGGACACCUGGACACACCUGGGGACACCUGGGGGGGUCACAGCCACACCUGGGCACACCUGAGAUACACCUGGGGGGAUAAAAACACACCUGGGGACACCUGAGACACACCUGGACACACCUGGGGACACCUGGGGGUUACCUGAGGACACCUGGAGGGGUUUGGGGACACACCUG